This 493-nucleotide ribosomal RNA is filed under the name uncultured bacterium. Its description in RNAcentral is "partial 16S ribosomal RNA". It matches the Rfam family "Bacterial small subunit ribosomal RNA", at positions 27 to 507 of the family's 1533-position model. The record is from RNAcentral.
GAGUGAACGCUGGCGGUAGGCCUAACCCAUGCAAGUCGAACGGCAGCCCAGUAAGAGCUUGCUCUUACGGGUGGCGAGUGGCGGACGGGUGAGGAAUACAUCGGAAUCUACUUUUUCGUGGGGGAUAACGUAGGGAAACUUACGCUAAUACCGCAUACGACCUACGGGUGAAAGCAGGGGAUCUUCGGACCUUGCGCGAUUGAAUGAGCCGAUGUCGGAUUAGCUAGUUGGCGGGGUAAAGGCCCACCAAGGCGACGAUCCGUAGCUGGUCUGAGAGGAUGAUCAGCCACACUGGAACUGAGACACGGUCCAGACUCCUACGGGAGGCAGCAGUGGGGAAUAUUGGACAAUGGGCGCAAGCCUGAUCCAGCCAUACCGCGUGGGUGAAGAAGGCCUUCGGGUUGUAAAGCCCUUUUGUUGGGAAAGAAAAGCAGCAGGUUAAUACCCCGCUGUUCUGACGGUACCCAAAGAAUAAGCACCGGCUAACUUCGUG